GACGAACGCUGGCGGCGUGCUUAACACAUGCAAGUCGAACGGAAAGGCCCUGCUUUUGUGGGGUGCUCGAGUGGCGAACGGGUGAGUAACACGUGAGUAACCUGCCCUUGACUUUGGGAUAACUUCAGGAAACUGGGGCUAAUACCGGAUAGGAGCUCCUGCUGCAUGGUGGGGGUUGGAAAGUUUCGGCGGUUGGGGAUGGACUCGCGGCUUAUCAGCUUGUUGGUGGGGUAGUGGCUUACCAAGGCUUUGACGGGUAGCCGGCCUGAGAGGGUGACCGGCCACAUUGGGACUGAGAUACGGCCCAGACUCCUACGGGAGGCAGCAGUGGGGAAUAUUGCACAGUGGGAGGAAGCCUGAUGCAACCACGCCGCGUGGGGGAUGACGGCCUUCCGGAUGUAAACCGCUUUCGCCUGUGACGAAGCGAGAGUGACGGUAAUGGGUAAAGAAGCACCGGCUAACUACGUGCCAGCAGCCGCGGUGAUACGUAGGGUGCGAGCGUUGUCCGGAUUUAUUGGGCGUAAAGGGCUCGUAGGUGGUUGAUCGCGUCGGAAGUGUAAUCUUGGGGCUUAACCCUGAGCGUGCUUUCGAUACGGGUUGACUUGAGGAAGGUAGGGGAGAAUGGAAUUCCUGGUGGAGCGGUGGAAUGCGCAGAUAUCAGGAGGAACACCAGUGGCGAAGGCGGUUCUCUGGGCCUUUCCUGACGCUGAGGAGCGAAAGCGUGGGGAGCGAACAGGCUUAGAUACCCUGGUAGUCCACGCUGUAAACGGUGGGUACUAGGUGUGGGGUCCAUUCCACGGGUUCCGUGCCGUAGCUAACGCUUUAAGUACCCCGCCUGGGGAGUACGGCCGCAAGGCUAAAACUCAAAGGAAUUGACGGGGCCCCGCACAAGCGGCGGAGCAUGCGGAUUAAUUCGAUGCAACGCGUAGAACCUUACCUGGGUUUGACAUGGAUCGGGAGUGCUCAGAGAUGGGUGUGCCUCUUUUGGGGUCGGUUCACAGGUGGUGCAUGGCUGUCGUCAGCUCGUGUCGUGAGAUGUUGGGUUAAGUCCCGCAACGAGCGCAACCCUUGUUCACUGUUGCCAGCACGUUAUGGUGGGGACUCAGUGGAGACCGCCGGGGUCAACUCGGAGGAAGGUGGGGAUGACGUCAAGUCAUCAUGCCCCUUAUGUCCAGGGCUUCACGCAUGCUACAAUGGCUGGUACAGAGAGUGGCGAGCCUGUGAGGGUGAGCGAAUCUCGGAAAGCCGGUCUCAGUUCGGAUUGGGGUCUGCAACUCGACCUCAUGAAGUCGGAGUCGCUAGUAAUCGCAGAUCAGCAACGCUGCGGUGAAUACGUUCCCGGG
This 1343-nucleotide ribosomal RNA is filed under the name uncultured bacterium. Its description in RNAcentral is "16S ribosomal RNA". It matches the Rfam family "Bacterial small subunit ribosomal RNA", at positions 28 to 1378 of the family's 1533-position model. The record is from RNAcentral.